RNAcentral lists this ribosomal RNA (492 nucleotides) under uncultured bacterium. RNAcentral's name for it is "partial 16S ribosomal RNA". It matches the Rfam family "Bacterial small subunit ribosomal RNA", at positions 29 to 507 of the family's 1533-position model. The record is from RNAcentral.
AGUGAACGCUGGCGGUAGGCCUAACACAUGCAAGUCGAACGGCAGCACAGUAAGAGCUUGCUCUUACGGGUGGCGAGUGGCGGACGGGUGAGGAAUACAUCGGAAUCUACUUUUUCGUGGGGGAUAACGUAGGGAAACUUACGCUAAUACCGCAUACGACCUACGGGUGAAAGCAGGGGAUCUUCGGACCUUGCGCGAUUGAAUGAGCCGCUGUCGGAUUAGCUAGUUGGCGGGGUAAAGGCCCACCAAGGCGACGAUCCGUAGCUGGUCUGAGAGGAUGAUCAGCGACACUGGAGCUGAGACACGGUCCAGACUCCUACGAGAGGCAGCAGUGGGGAAUAUUGGACAAUGGGCGCAAACCUGAUCCAGCCAUCCCGCGUGGGUGGAGAAGGCCUUCGGGUUGUAAAGCCCUUUUGUUGGGAGAGAAAAGCAGCAGGUUAAUACCCCGCUGUUCUGACGGUACCCAAAGAAUAAGCACCGGCUAACUUCGUG